AGCGUGUUAAUAGCUGCCCAUAUCCGUCAAAAACUGAAGAACUGGAAAGGCUUGGUUUGAAAUCUGAAAUUAAUAAAAGGCCAUCCUUAGAGAAUAGCAAGCCAAAAGAGAGCAGAAAAAAGGGGAAAGUAAGUGAAAAAAGAAAAUUUGAAGAAAUCAGGAGUCCUAGCUGUUCGUGCAAGCAGCCUAAGAAGCAGCAAAAGUUGCAAAAGCAUGAAGCAUCACCGAAUUGUUUCCUAAGUAUUGGUAAGCUGGAGAAUUUUGUAACAACAUGGAAGGAAACAUGUCGUGAGCAUCCAGUUCAACAGGUAUGUACUCAUAAUUGAAUCUAUGUUUUCAUUAAAUAAUUGUGAAGCUGAGUAAUCUAAUGAGGCUGCAAGCGUACAACCUCCCUUUUCUCUACCGAAUUGCUCUGUCUGGGCUUAUCCUGUUUCUAGAACUAAUUUGAUUGUACCUGUAACUGAUGCAGGUUCUGGAAAUGUUAGCAAAUUACUAUGGAAGAACACCAACAGAGAAGAAGGGAAUAAUAAAUUUCUGCUCACAGUACCCAGGCAUUGGCCUUCUCAAUGUUGCUGUGAGUUGAUUAUCCUCCUUUAUUCAUUUGACUUGAAUUGUGAAUCUUUACUGUAGUUACUAUCCAUUAAUUGCCUUUGACCUGCAUUUUCUGCGUGAUAAUAACACACAAAUUAGGAACUGGUUGGCCUGAUUUUCGAUUUGUCUAGUCAUGUAGUUCCCUCAAGUUGUCUUAUACAAUGUUUUCAAGGCGUCGCUUAAGCGCCAAGGCGCUGCACACACGACGCCAUAGCAGACGACUCGCCUUAGAUUCCACACUAGUGAGCAGGAGAGCGGGAGGGAGAGAGCAGGCGCGCAGAAGAUUUCACAGCAGUGAGCGGGAGAGCGGGAGGGGAACUCACCUGUGCUGACGGGAGAAGUUGCCGACUGACCACCGCCGAGCCGUGCGGGCCGCGGCAAGGAGCGGCCUGCGGGCCAUGGCCAUCUUCCCCUAAUCGGUACUGGCCUGCAGCAUCCCGCUUCCUCUGUUCCUCUUCCUCCAUCGAGAGAGAGAGAGAGGUGGGUGGAGGCGGAGGCGGAACGGGAGGGAAGAGACCGAGAUGGGUUGAGACGGAAGUCAAAAC
Molecule: long non-coding RNA, 1136 nt
Filed under: Sorghum bicolor (sorghum)
Lineage: Eukaryota; Viridiplantae; Streptophyta; Magnoliopsida; Poales; Poaceae
Description: long non-coding RNA (SBIC_LNC000061)
Source: RNAcentral